UUUUUUUUUUUUUUUUUGGUCUUUUUGCCAUUUCUUUGGCUGCUCCUGUGGGAUAUAGAGGUUCCCAGGCUAGGGGUCGAAUCAGAGCUAUUUCAAAACAAAAAUGAAAACAAAAACAAAAAAACUGGAGAAAAUUUCAAAGUGAAAACAGAUGUCAUUGUCCUAGAGCCACACCUACCAUGCCCAGGCCAUCAGGGCUCCAGACAAUCUCUUCCCCAGAGGGUGAGAAUCAGGGAUGCAAAAGUCACAUCCACCAAGAGGUUUGGCACCUCCCAUCCAUUUUCCUUCCCUGUUUUACAUAUGUGACUUCUAUCUUUGUCUUUCAUUUACAUAAAAAUGAAUCUUAAUGAAAGAUAUGCUGAACAGCAAUACAGGAGUCAAUGCUGGGGCAAGAAGUGGACGAAAGGCAGAUCUGGUUUUCAAAACCUGAAAACAUGGUGGGGCCUGGGCCUCAGCAACCAUCAUGGAUCAGCCUGCACCUUCACUGCAUCAGCAAUCUCAUCUGGAAAGUCUACAAACUGGUAAAUUGGCCAAGGACAAGGGCAAGAUCUUGCUCCAGUAUCUGGACUUUGUGAACACAAGUUGGGAGAGGACGGGUGGGGUGACUUUCCCAUAAUGGUUUCAGGGUCACACCAUGCAGGGUCUCGUCCACCUCAGCCUUGAUCUACUGCCACAGUGGAGAGUGGGAAGCCCUCGAGGAGUUAUGUAAGUAAGGUUGGAGUGGGGGUGCAGGGAUCCAAAAUACUCGGGAGCUGUGGGCACUGCACUUUUUCCUUUUCUCCUCACUCCAUCUCCUGAAAAUCAUAAAUUCAAGAUCAAAACCCCAAACUCCACCAAGCAAAGAGUGCAAAAUGCCUCUGCUUUCAAUUAUAGCAUCUUUAUUUCUUAGAGAAACACACAUGCUGUGUGCAUUCCAGGAUUGGGCUGGGCGGCCCUUCAGGCUUCUGUAAGAAAGGGCCAGGGAUCUGCAAAGCCCAGGUCUUUUUGAACAGUCAGGGGAAGCAUUAGUAGCUUUUCCACAAAGCACUGAACUAUUUUGCAGGAGUAACAUAAGCCAGAACUGGUGGAAAUUAAAAUAGCAUAAACCAGACUUUAGGAAGCUCCCACAUGCUUGUGAACCACUGAAUUUAAAGAUGGAUGAUUGGGUGCUUAGGUUGAUAAAUAAAUGGAUGGAGGGAGGAAAUUCCAAUCAUAUCUUUAAUCUUUUCACUAGGCAUCUUUUUAAUAUUAGUCCACAAUAAAAACUCAGUAACAACAAGAAUUUUAAAUAAUAAAUAACAAUCAAUUCACUUGGCUAAAAAAAUAUUUUAAGGCUACAUAUUAAAAACCAGGAGUUCCCUUCAUGGAUCAGUGGUUAACGAACCCAACUGGUGUCAAUCCCUGGCCUUGCUCAGUGGGUUAAGGAUCCGGCGUUGCUGUGAGCUAUGGUGUAGGUUGCAGAUGCAGCACUGAUCUUGCAUUGCUCUGGCUGUGGCAGGCCAGGAGCUGUAGCUCCAAUUUGACCCCUAGCCUGGGAACCUUCAUACGCCAUGGGAGUGGCCCUAAAAAACAAACAAACAAACAAAAACAAAUCAUCCUCCCACUCCAGACCUCAGGUUCCCAGUCAUCACCAGGGUUAACAACUCCUAGCAUUUCUGGGGGUAUAUUUCAUCUAUAUUUAUGCAUUAUUUAUCAUUUUCAAAGUUCAUCUAAAUCUCACACCUUAAAGCUUUGUUAGGAAAGAGGGUUUAUUCAUCCAGUGAAGAAAAUCAUUUAUUCUCAUCUAGGAAAAAGAAUCUAAAAAUGCUGACAAGCAAUAAAAAUAGAACCAAUGAAUAUUCCUGUGUUUAAAGGCAAUGUGAAAACAACCAUUUCAGCAGCAAGAGAAAAGAUGCCACUUGGGAAAGUCAUUCUCAGUAAGAUACAGUGACAACCUAAGACAAUGAGAACGAGGCUAAGAGAAAGAGGAAAAAUGAGAAGGAAUAGAAAUCAGAGGAGGAAGGACAGCGAUUAAACAGAGUACUGCUUGUCUAACAUUGUUUUGUUUGGUUUGGUUUUAUGGGCAAACAAGAAAAGGUUAUGGCGGAUAAUGUGGCCUUUGAACUGAUCCCCAAAUGCCAGGACUCCGGAGCCUGUUAAAUAACACUGCAAGCAGGGAAGCAUAUCAGUGCACAUUGGCUUAAGGAUUUCAGGGACAUUUAUUUCUCAGAACUAGCAAAUUCGACAGCAAGAUGGGCUCGAGGCUCCUCCAGGGCCUAGGACCUCAAUUCUGGCUCCAGCCACUGGAUCCGGGUGGUCAAGGACACCCUAGCCUAGAACAGCAACACUUACUGGAAAUGGAGGGUGAUGUGUGGUUGUGAAAUUCCUGCCUGAGGGCACAGCCCCACAUCUUAGAUAGAAGCACAUUCUAUUGAGAAGCUGCAUGAGUGGCAGGGAUCAGACCAUCCCAGGGAGUCUUAAUCCAAGAAGGCGAGGGAUGCGCUGGAGACAGCUUCUGUGUUGUCAUGACAAACACGGCUCUCGUGACCUCACAGAACACUUGAGCGCUCAAGGGCCGGCAUAGCAGGACACUGAAGACUGCAAAACUCUCAAUAGGAGUUUCCUUACCACGAAUAGAAUGGGGGCCUGGGAGCUUCAGAAGGGACUGUAGCCAAAGACUCUGUUACAGAGGACACAGCCAGGAGUCAAGCACCCGGGACCGCAUGCUGGGCUCCCUAGCGCUGACGUGGACUGGCCUGCCUGGCCCAACUGAGCUCUGCCCAUUUCAGUUCCAAUCACUGGUGCUGACACAGCAAAGGAGGAAGAGAGGUGCUCUUCACACCACGAGUGGGACAGCACAGGACAGAACGGACAGUUUUAACUGCAUUGACCGGUGCCCUGCCUGCAGGAGCAGAAAAAAAAAAGUCCACGGACCUCGCACUGCCCAUAACGUGAGGAGGUGGCAGAAGGGACCCUUGCUGAGCUGAAUUCGUCCGUCCUUACCUCUCUCCAGGCGUAGUACCUCUCCGCUUUAAUAAGCAUGUCCACGACGAGGCUGUGGUUGCUCCUGGCAGCCAGGGCCAGGGCGGUCUUCCCUUGCUAAAAGUCAAAAAUCAAAAUAUCAGGCAAUGCAGCCUUCUGGGUAGGAGCUCUAGCUUUGCAACAAGGGGGCCUGGGUUCAAAUCCUGACCCUACUGCUGCCUUGCAGGGUGAACUUGAAAUCCUCAUCUUCUCUAGGUCUCCUUAACUGCCCCUCUGUGUAACGGUGAGGUGUAAGCCUGACAUGCAUAUAGGGCCCUUAGGACUGUGUAUGGCUUGGGGUAAUUAUCUAAGCGAUGCUAGAUAUUCAUAGUGUCAGGUGCUGGGUCAAUUGGGCAGGGGGAAGGAUUUGGGCUUAGGGACCCACCAGUGACGCUUUAUACAUGCAUGGUCAGUGGGAACUCAAGCAUUUCUCUAAGACCAUCAUGGGGUCACCCUGGCUCACUGCACUGGGACAGCCUCAGCAAAUAACAUGAGCAACUUUCUAAGUCAACUCGACACUAAAAUAAAUUUUUUUAAAAUGAGUUCUCAUUGUGGCUCAGCAGGUUAAGAACCCAACAUAGUGUCUGUGAGAAUGCAGGUUUGAUUCCUGGCCCCAGUGGGUUAAGGAUCCAGUGUUGUCACAAGCUGUGCUGUAGGUUGCAGGUGCGGCCAUACAAAGAAUAUUAAAAGUAAUACUUAAAAGAAUAAGAGAGACCUAAUUUUAGCUGGGCACUUGGCCGCCCUGAACACUUCCUGGCCUCCCUUACCGUUGCCCAUGUGAACUAACUUCUGGCUGAAUGGUAUAUAGAUGGAAGUAGUACAUGUGACUUCCGGGAAUUAUCUUUAAAGAGAGGCGGGAGGUCACGCACCUUCUUCCCUCCUCUUCCUUGAGUGGAAUGCUGCCAUGAUGGCGGGAGCCUGAACAGCCACUUUAGACCAGGAGGUGAAAGCCCCAGGUGAGGAGGGCAGAGUAAUAAAACAGAAAAGGGAUGGGUCUGAUUCCGAAUGAUAUAAAUAACAGUAACACUACAUAGUACAGAAUUCAGGUCAUUAGACUCCCAUCUGGAAUUUUGUCUAGGAGUUCCUGCUGUGGCUCAGUGGUUAACGAACCCUACUAGUAUCCAUGAGAACGCAGGUUUGAUCCCUGGCCUUGCUCAGUGGAUUAAGAAUCCAGCAUUGCUGUGAGCUGUGGUGUACGUUGCAGAUGUGGCUCCGAUUGCAAGUGGCUGUGGCUGUGGUAUAGGCCAGCAGCUACAGCUCUGAUUUGACCCCUAUUCUGGGAACCUCCAUAUGCUGUAGGUGCAGCCCUAAAAAGACAAAAAAAAAAAAAAAAAAAAAA
RNAcentral lists this long non-coding RNA (4318 nucleotides) under Sus scrofa (pig). RNAcentral describes it as "lncRNA (ENSSSCG00030049426.1)". The record is from RNAcentral. Lineage: Eukaryota; Metazoa; Chordata; Mammalia; Artiodactyla; Suidae.